UAGGUUCUUCCAGGUGCGAGGGCAUAUAGUCCUCGCUUUUGCCGUCCGUAGGGAGGUUGAGGAACAAGUGCUGGGCAAGACCGGUGCCAGCCGCCGCGGUAAUAACGGCAGCACAAGUGAUGACCGCUGUUAUUGGGCCUAAAGCGUCCGUAGCUGGCCAGACAAGUUCAUCGGGAAAUCUGUGCGCCUAACGCACAGGCGUCCGGUGGAAACUGCCUGGCUUGGGACCGGAAGACCAGAGGGGUACGUCUGGGGUAGGAGUGAAAUCCCGUAAUCCUGGACGGACCACCGGUGGCGAAAGCGCCUCUGGAAGACGGAUCCGACGGUGAGGGACGAAAGCUCGGGUCACGAACCGGAUUAGAUACCCGGGUAGUCCGAGCUGUAAACGAUGUCUGCUAGGUGUGACACAGGCUACGAGCCUGUGUUGUGCCGUAGGGAAGCCGUGAAGCAGACCGCCUGGGAAGUACGUCCGCAAGGAUGAAACUUAAAGGAAUUGGCGGGGGAGCACUACAACCGGAGGAGCCUGCGGUUUAAUUGGACUCAACGCCGGACAUCUCACCAGCAUCGACAGUGUGCAGUGACAGUCAGUGUGAUGAGCUUACUUGAGCCACUGAGAGGAGGUGCAUGGCCGCCGUCAGCUCGUACCGUGAGGCGUCCUGUUAAGUCAGGCAACGAGCGAGACCCGCACCCUUAAUUGCCAGCAACACCCUUGUGGUGGUUGGGUACAUUAAGAGGACUGCCAGUGCCAAACUGGAGGAAGGAACGGGCAACGGUAGGUCAGUAUGCCCCGAAUGUGCUGGGCGACACGCGGGCUACAAUGGUCGAGACAGUGGGAUGCAACGCCGAAAGGCGACGCUAAUCUCCGAAACUCGAUCGUAGUUCGGAUUGAGGGCUGAAACUCGCCCUCAUGAAGCUGGAUUCGGUAGUAAUCGCGCCUCAGAAGGGCGCGGUGAAUACGUCCCUGCUCCUUGCACACACCGCCCGUCAAAGCACCCGAGUGGGGUCCGGAUGAGGCCCGGUUUCCGGGUCGAAUCUG
RNAcentral lists this ribosomal RNA (1036 nucleotides) under Natrialba aegyptia. RNAcentral's name for it is "bacterial SSU rRNA". It matches the Rfam family "Archaeal small subunit ribosomal RNA", at positions 372 to 1411 of the family's 1478-position model. The record is from RNAcentral. Lineage: Archaea; Methanobacteriati; Methanobacteriota; Halobacteria; Halobacteriales; Natrialbaceae.